UGAAUGAAUGAGUAAAUUAGCCUGAACCC
RNAcentral lists this non-coding RNA (29 nucleotides) under Mus musculus (house mouse). The record is from RNAcentral. Lineage: Eukaryota; Metazoa; Chordata; Mammalia; Rodentia; Muridae.